RNAcentral lists this ribosomal RNA (906 nucleotides) under uncultured bacterium. Its description in RNAcentral is "bacterial SSU rRNA". It matches the Rfam family "Bacterial small subunit ribosomal RNA", at positions 63 to 963 of the family's 1533-position model. The record is from RNAcentral.
CGAGCGGAGAUGAGGUGCUUGCACCUUAUCUUAGCGGCGGACGGGUGAGUAAUGCUUAGGAAUCUGCCUAUUAGUGGGGGACAACAUUCCGAAAGGAAUGCUAAUACCGCAUACGUCCUACGGGAGAAAGCAGGGGAUCUUCGGACCUUGCGCUAAUAGAUGAGCCUAAGUCGGAUUAGCUAGUUGGUGGGGUAAAGGCCUACCAAGGCGACGAUCUGUAGCGGGUCUGAGAGGAUGAUCCGCCACACUGGGACUGAGACACGGCCCAGACUCCUACGGGAGGCAGCAGUGGGGAAUAUUGGACAAUGGGGGGAACCCUGAUCCAGCCAUGCCGCGUGUGUGAAGAAGGCCUUAUGGUUGUAAAGCACUUUAAGCGAGGAGGAGGCUACUGAGACUAAUACUCUUGGAUAGUGGACGUUACUCGCAGAAUAAGCACCGGCUAACUCUGUGCCAGCAGCCGCGGUAAUACAGAGGGUGCGAGCGUUAAUCGGAUUUACUGGGCGUAAAGCGUGCGUAGGCGGCUUUUUAAGUCGGAUGUGAAAUCCCCGAGCUUAACUUGGGAAUUGCAUUCGAUACUGGGAAGCUAGAGUAUGGGAGAGGAUGGUAGAAUUCCAGGUGUAGCGGUGAAAUGCGUAGAGAUCUGGAGGAAUACCGAUGGCGAAGGCAGCCAUCUGGCCUAAUACUGACGCUGAGGUACGAAAGCAUGGGGAGCAAACAGGAUUAGAUACCCUGGUAGUCCAUGCCGUAAACGAUGUCUACUAGCCGUUGGGGCCUUUGAGGCUUUAGUGGCGCAGCUAACGCGAUAAGUAGACCGCCUGGGGAGUACGGUCGCAAGACUAAAACUCAAAUGAAUUGACGGGGGCCCGCACAAGCGGUGGAGCAUGUGGUUUAAUUCGAUGCAACGCG